CUGAUGCAGCCAUGCCGCGUGUGUGAGAAGGCCUUCGGGUUGUAAAGCACUUUCAGCGAGGAGGAAAGGUUGACGGUUAAUACCCGUCAGCUGUGACGUUACUCGCAGAAGAAGCACCGGCUAACUCCGUGCCAGCAGCCGCGGUAAUA
Molecule: ribosomal RNA, 149 nt
Filed under: uncultured Ferrimonas sp.
Lineage: Bacteria; Pseudomonadati; Pseudomonadota; Gammaproteobacteria; Alteromonadales; Ferrimonadaceae
Description: partial 16S ribosomal RNA
Rfam family: Bacterial small subunit ribosomal RNA
Source: RNAcentral